This is a long non-coding RNA of Astyanax mexicanus (Mexican tetra), 3828 nucleotides long. RefSeq lists it as uncharacterized. Lineage: Eukaryota; Metazoa; Chordata; Actinopteri; Characiformes; Acestrorhamphidae. The transcript is spliced from 4 exons. The record is from RefSeq and is a predicted model, not a curated record.
GAGAGAGAGAGAGAGAGAAUAAAACAGAGCUGCAAUGCUUUGAUUGUAUGAUGUGAUGCUUUGGCUGCAGUGCUGUGUGUUGAGGCAGGUAAGAUAGGGGUAUGUACUGUAUGAGUGUAUGAGCGAGAGAUGAGGUGGAAUAAGACGUAGAGAUAUAUGAUAGAGAUGACAGCCAGACAAAGAAAGGUGCACAAUAUGCAGAGAGAGAAAGAUGGGAAAAGAAAGAGAGGAAUGGAGGUUAGGUGGAGGGGAAAGAUCAAGGUGAAAUAAAGAGAAAGCCAGAAUAAAAAAGAGGCAAAGAGGGUAAUAGGAGGUAUAAAGGUGAAGUAGAGGAGAAUGAGACUGAGGUAUAGACAAAGUAAUAAAGGUGGAGUCGAGAGAGAAAAACCUAGAAAAUAAAGAGGUGGAGAGAAAGAUGGGAUGGAAAGGUAGAGGGGAAAGAGAUAAAACAGGUUAAGAGCAACACAAAGUAUACAGAGAGUUGAUGUAGAGAGGAAGCAAUGGAGAGAAUGAUGAGGUAGAGAAGAAGCAAUGGAGAGAAUGAUGAGGUAGAGAAGAAGCAAUGGAGAGAAUGAUGAGGUAGAGAAGAAGCAAUGGAGAGAAUGAUGAGGUAGAGAAGAAGCAAUGGAGAGAAUGAUGAGGUAGAGAAGAAGCAAUGGAGAGAAUGAUGAGGUAGAGAAGAAGCAAUGGAGAGAAUGAUGAGGUAGAGAAGAAGCAAUGGAGAGAAUGAUGAGGUAGAGAAGAAGCAAUGGAGAGAAUGAUGAGGUAGAGAAGAAGCAAUGGAGAGAAUGAUGAGGUAGAGAGGAAGCAAUGGAGAGAAUGAUGAGGUAGAGAGGAAGCAAUGGAGAGAAUGAUGAGGUAGAGAAGAAGCAAUGGAGAGAAUGAUGAGGUAGAGGAGAAAUGAUUAAGAGAAUAAUGAGGUAGAGAGGAAACAAUGGAGAGAACGAUGAGGUAGAGAAGAAGCAAUGGAGAGAAUGAUGAGGUAGAGAAGAAGCAAUGGAGAAAACAAUAAGGUAUAUAGAGGGGUGAGGUAGAGGAGAAAUGAUGAAGAGAAUGUUGGGGUAGAGAAGAACCAGUGGAGAGAAUAAUAAGGUAUGUAGAUGGUAAGGUACAGGGAAAAGAGGUUGUAAAAACAAGAAGAGGUAUAGAUGUGAGAAAAAGACAAUGAUUUGGAAAAAAGAGAUAGAAGAGAGGAAAAGGAGAGAAUGAUGAGGUAUAUAAAGAGGUAAGGUAGAGGAGAAAGAUACAAAAAGAGGUAGAAAGGCGAGGAAAAGAAUGAGAAAAAAAUAUAGAGAGGUGAGGUAUAGGAGAAGAGCUGAAGAAAAGAUUAUAUAUCUAGAGAGGAGAGGUAGAGGAGAAGAGAUGGAAAGAUGGAUGAGGUAUGUAGAGAAGUGAGGUAGAGGAGAAGCAAUGUAGUAAAGGAUAAAGUAUUUAGAGGGGUGAGGUAAAGAGGAAAAAGGUUUCGAUAACAAGAAAAGGUAGAGAUGUGAGGAACAGUAAAGGAAAAGAUAGAAAGAAUUGGAAAAUAGAAGAGGAAAGGUGAAGAAAACAAGAUGAGGUAUAUACUGUAGAAAAGUGACAUUGAAGUGAAGUGAAGUUGAUGGAGAGAAUGAUGAGGAAUAAAGAGAGGUGAGGUAGAGGAUGAGUGAUGGAGACUGGUGAGGUAAAGAGGAAGUAUGUGAGAACAAGAAGAGAUGUAAAAAAGAAAAAGACUGAGCAAAUAAAGAGGUGAGGUAGAGGAGAAGAGAUGUAGAAAAGUUUAGGUAUCUAGAGAAGUGAGAUAAAGGAGUAGAGAUGGAGAGAAGGAUGAGGUAUGUAGUGAGGUGAACAGGCAGAAGAGGUGAAAAGAAAAAGAUAUAAUGUCGGAUAAGAGCACGAAAGAGUGCAGGAAAAAUAACUUGUAGAGAGAAAUAAAGAAACGAAUGAAUGAAAUGAAAGGGAGAUGAAUGUCAGUAAUACCCGGUAAUUGAAUUGAACUGUAGGAACUCUCUGAGCUGAGUUUAUGCUCAGUGGAUUUUUUGGUAAAUAAUAAUUUUCAGUAUUGCUUUAAAUGAAAAAGCUAAUUUGGCUCCGUCUGAGAAAAUAUGACCCUGACAAAUCAUCGGUCUGAACUGCUGUUCUUACUUCUUCUUUCAUCAUUUAGAAAUAUGUGUUUGUUAUUAUUUGUUUUAAAGCGUAAAUCUGUGAAGUUGUAGAUUCGCCCUUCUUUUUAACUAAAUACAAAAGCUAACUAAACUGAAAUGAACCCAGAUGUGUAACAGAGAGAGAGAGAGAGAGAACGAAGCAGAGGAUGAGAGAGACAAAAGGGUGAGGUAGAGAAAGAAUAGUGAGGCAUAGCCAGAGAGAGAGAGAGAUUGUGUUGCAGUAGCUCAGGUUAUUUUAGGCUACUCUCACCUACAGAAGAUUACAGUGCAUAAGAGGACUCACUAUUAAAGGAACUCAGCUGGAUCUUCUCUCCCUCAGAUCGACUCACUCUAUACACUCUGUAUAUUCCCUGUGGAAGAGAGGGUUGAGUGUGUGCAUGUGUGCAUGUGUAUGUGUUGAGUUUGCAGCUAAAUGUCAGAUGCUACUGAUGCAAUAACAGCUUUAUUUAUUUUAAGUCGUGUGGAGAAUUUAGGACACCCCAUGAAAACAUUUCUUUUUAAUAUAUUAUUAUUAUUCAUUUUACAUUUUACAACUUAUAGCUAAUUUACAUGAAACUCCUUCACUUUGUGUUUUAUUAUAUAUAAGCUCCAUUUCUCAAAACUGUUCAGAUUACAAAUUAGACUUAAAAAUUCAUAUGCUUAAAUAUGUUAAAGUGGCAGUCCCCAUAAUUUUGUUUCUAAACUGAAAGCAGAAGCAUUUCUGAGUAUAGAAUAGACAAAAUAUGGUGUUUAAUGGCCUAAUGGCCAUCCCUACGCAUAAUUACGUACUUUAAAAGCCUCUAAAAGAGGAUCCGGCUCAGUUUUACUGAACGCGAGCAGCUGGUGGAGCAAUGGAGACUUCAGAAGGGGGGAAACUCAGAGCUCAGUAGCUCCUCCAUUCACUCAUAGUAAAAACAAAGAAACGAAGGAGUAGUGCUGGACGAUAUGGCCAAAAUUCAUAUCACAAUAUAUUCCUUAAAUUUCGGUCGAUACGAUAUAAUUUCGAUAUUGAUAUAAAUACUUUGAAGGCCUCAGAAAACUGCUAAGAAGCCCUGCAAUCCCUGCAGCACUGCAAAUUUAAAUUAUUAUAUAACUGUGUAUUUGCACUUUUUGUAUUGCUGGCAUCAGAUACCCUCAUUAUAUGCACAUCUAUCUAUCUAUCUAUCUAUCUAUCUAUCUAUCUAUCUAUCUAUCUAUCUAUCUAUCUAUCUAUCUAUCUAUCUAUCUAUCUAUCUAUCUAUCUAUCUAUCUAUCUAUCUAUCUAUCUAUCUAUCUAUCUAUCUAUCUAUCUAUCUAUCUAUCUAUCUAUCUAAUGGAAAUCUGUACCUACUACUGUCUGAAAAUUUAAUUUAAGACAUUGAAACCUCCUUUCACAAAAACUGUAAUACUUUAGAAAUAAAAAGUAGUCAAAAUAAAUGAAUGCUCAAUAUUAUUUGCAUAUAGCAAAAUAAUAACAUGACAUCCCUGUCAAACAUAAGCCUAUAUAACUAUUACCAAUAAAAAUAACUUUAAAUUACAACAGAGGCAGAGCUUUUUGUUCUUUGUGAACAAAUUUAACAGAUUAAAACAAGUGUUUCAACUAGGAUAUAGAAUACAAUAAGCCUUUAUAAAUAAAGCGACAAGAUUUUCCCGUCAAAUAAACAAACCUACAGGCUUUAUCAACUAUGAAUAACUUAGUUACAACAUAAGCUAUAAAAGUGCUUCA